Molecule: long non-coding RNA, 659 nt
Filed under: Zonotrichia albicollis (white-throated sparrow)
Lineage: Eukaryota; Metazoa; Chordata; Aves; Passeriformes; Passerellidae
Description: lncRNA (ENSZALG00000013670.1)
Source: RNAcentral
AUAAUAUACUGUAAAUUAAAGUUGUGAUAAGGCCACGGAUAAUUCCAAAUGAUAAAUGAUUUAAUUUUAUUUUCACAGGAAGAGGCUGAAACAAGGCUGCACCUUGCUCUGAAAUGACACAAUAAUUGGAGCGAGUACAGGAUUACUGCAUUUGUCCUGACUUACCAUUUCAUCAGGAUCAGAUGGAAUUAAUUUAAAUCUGUGUGGUGUUUGUCAGAGGCCUCACACAUGGACUGCCCAGCUGCAGAACAGGAUUAAAUAAAAGGAAAUGAGCUGUUUAAUUACAGUCAGAGAAAUUUUGCGGUGCUGGGCUGCCUUGGAUGGUGACAGCAAGGCUGAAAUGUGUUUAAGGACGUGGCUACAUGAACUGAUGGCUUCAGAGGGCAGAAGAAGGAAAAAAGAAGAAGGAAACAACUUGGGCUAAUGUUCAACAACAAUGCUGAUGCUGCUACAGAGGUGUGCAUACAUCCCAAAGCUGUCAACGAGUGGCAGGGGGUGGCAGUGCCUGUCACAUCUCUGCUUUUGGAAAAGAUCCGAGCCCUGAUGGCACAGCCACACUGCAGUUUCCAUGGCAGAUCUCAGGCAAGAUAUUCCCCGGGAGAGUUUUUGAUGUCACCAUUUUUCAGGUGAGUUCCAUGGUGAUGAUCACAGCUUGUGUU